Molecule: non-coding RNA, 26 nt
Filed under: Mus musculus (house mouse)
Lineage: Eukaryota; Metazoa; Chordata; Mammalia; Rodentia; Muridae
Source: RNAcentral
UGUCUCCCCAGUGCUGGUAAUAUAGG